AGAGUUUGAUCCUGGCUCAGGAUGAACGCUAGCGGGAGGCCUAACACAUGCAAGCCGAGCGGUAUAGAUUCUUCGGAAUCUAGAGAGCGGCGUACGGGUGCGGAACACGUGUGCAACCUACCUUUAUCAGGGGGAUAGCCUUUCGAAAGGAAGAUUAAUACCCCAUAAUAUAUUGACUGGCAUCAGUCGAUAUUGAAAACUCCGGUGGAUAGAGAUGGGCACGCGCAAGAUUAGAUAGUUGGUAGGGUAACGGCCUACCAAGUCAGUGAUCUUUAGGGGGCCUGAGAGGGUGAUCCCCCACACUGGUACCGAGACACGGACCAGACUCCUACGGGAGGCAGCAGUGAGGAAUAUUGGACAAUGGGUGAGAGCCUGAUCCAGCCAUCCCGCGUGAAGGACGACGGCCCUAUGGGUUGUAAACUUCUUUUGUAUAGGGAUAAACCUACUCUCGUGAGAGUAGCUGAAGGUACUAUACGAAUAAGCACCGGCUAACUCCGUGCCAGCAGCCGCGGUAAUACGGAGGGUGCAAGCGUUAUCCGGAUUUAUUGGGUUUAAAGGGUCCGUAGGCGGAUCUGUAAGUCAGUGGUGAAAUCUCAUAGCUUAACUAUGAAACUGCCAUUGAUACUGCAGGUCUUGAGUAAAGUAGAAGUGGCUGGAAUAAGUAGUGUAGCGGUGAAAUGCAUAGAUAUUACUUAGAACACCAAUUGCGAAGGCAGGUCACUAUGUUUUAACUGACGCUGAUGGACGAAAGCGUGGGGAGCGAACAGGAUUAGAUACCCUGGUAGUCCACGCCGUAAACGAUGCUAACUCGUUUUUGGGCUUUAGGGUUCAGAGACUAAGCGAAAGUGAUAAGUUAGCCACCUGGGGAGUACGUUCGCAAGAAUGAAACUCAAAGGAAUUGACGGGGGCCCGCACAAGCGGUGGAUUAUGUGGUUUAAUUCGAUGAUACGCGAGGAACCUUACCAAGGCUUAAAUGGGAAUUGACAGGUUUAGAAAUAGACUUUUCUUCGGACAAUUUUCAAGGUGCUGCAUGGUUGUCGUCAGCUCGUGCCGUGAGGUGUUAGGUUAAGUCCUGCAACGAGCGCAACCCCUGUCACUAGUUGCCAUCAUUCAGUUGGGGACUCUAGUGAGACUGCCUACGCAAGUAGAGAGGAAGGUGGGGAUGACGUCAAAUCAUCACGGCCCUUACGCCUUGGGCCACACACGUAAUACAAUGGCCAGUACAGAGGGCAGCUACCAGGCGACUGGAUGCGAAUCUCGAAAGCUGGUCUCAGUUCGGAUUGGAGUCUGCAACUCGACUCUAUGAAGCUGGAAUCGCUAGUAAUCGCAUAUCAGCCAUGAUGCGGUGAAUACGUUCCCGGGCCUUGUACACACCGCCCGUCAAGCCAUGGAAGUUUGGGGUACCUGAAGUCGGUGACCGUAACAGGAGCUGCCUAGGGUAAAACAGGUAACUAGGGCUAAGUCGUAACAAGGUA
This 1475-nucleotide ribosomal RNA is filed under the name metagenome. RNAcentral describes it as "bacterial SSU rRNA". It matches the Rfam family "Bacterial small subunit ribosomal RNA". The record is from RNAcentral.